Molecule: long non-coding RNA, 6919 nt
Filed under: Brassica napus (rape)
Lineage: Eukaryota; Viridiplantae; Streptophyta; Magnoliopsida; Brassicales; Brassicaceae
Description: long non-coding RNA (BNAP_LNC006101)
Source: RNAcentral
CUGGCUCACUCGAACCUGGUCCUGGAUCAGCUUUUCUAGCAUUAGAUACUGAUGAGUCAGGCCAUGAGCUCAUACACUCAAUAUUUUGCCCUGAACUGCUCCCCCCCAGCUUACUAUCAUGAAGGUGAGUUGUCUUCUGCUCAGCUGGCUUAACUGCCUUAUUAGAUUCAUCGCCCUGUUCCUUCCUGUUUCUUACUUUAAAAGGCACAAUAUGGUCGCCUGUCUCUCCGUCGUCACCCCAUAUCAUAUUAGUAAGCUGAAAAAAACAGGUUAAACAACAAGGGAUCAGAGACAAGCAAGUAAUGACAUCUACAUGAAUGUAGAACAUGACGUAAGAACUCGAGACCAAGCUCAGAUAACUUGUAAAAAUUCAGAUCCUCCUUAUUCAAAGCCUAAACCUUGCUCUUGUCUGUGAAAUGGGGAUAUAAGGCUACAUAGCCAUGAAAGGUUUCAUCUACAUGCGACCAAAACUAAAACAGAGAGGAGAAGCGUGAAAAUAGAAUUUACCUCUUCGUCGUCCCAAUCAAACAUGACUAGAGAAACAGAGUCCAAUCACAGACCCCAAAUCACUCUCCUCUCUGAUUCCUCCACACAUCGCCCACUCCACCACGAUAAGAAAAAAAAAAUACCCACAAAAGAAAAAGUCGCUUAACGUAAUUCUCAAGAGUUAAAAACCGAUAAAAAAAUUAAUUAAAAUAAAAAAUUAAACCGAAAAAGAGUAAGCCUGCAAAAACCUGGAUUCAGAAUCCUUCAUGCUGUUGCUUCAUCUGGAUAAUGGGAAAAAAAAAAGGAGAGUUACUACAGAACAUGUUUGGGAAAGUGGGGCCCAUUUAGGAAGUGUCACGUGCCGAACGAGUGGCUGAGAGAGUAUGGACGGAGUUAGGAUGCCACGUCACACGAGAGUGCGUAUCUAAACAUGUGGCUGAGAGUGUGUGUCAAUAACUACGACAUUUCCACUACCCAGCUCACCACCUCUCAUUUUGACUUUCACUUGCUGAGAGCUGUUUUAUUUUCCCCGCUUUCAAAAAUAAUAAUAAUUAGAGAUACACACAAACUUAUACUAUUAUCUACUCUUAUAUUUUUCUUUAGUUUUUUAAACAAUAUAUUUUUCGUUAGUUAGUAAAUAAAAUAGUUUCGGAACUUUUAUUUGAAAGGCUGGAACCAGGGAGAUUUGGUGGGGUAGGAGUUAAUAGAGACCACUAGUAGGGGGAGGGGAGAGACUCACAGAGUGUGGAGUGUUAUACUGUUGGCCAAGCGCAUCACCACCUUUCACCAUCUGAACACCAGGCGUUGCAUGAAUCAUAGACGGAUUCACAUACCCGCAUUUCCAAGACGCUGGAUUAACGGAGAUGAAUCCCAUCACGAAAUCUGAAUGAGCCUCUGCGAUCUUCACGGCUGCUGCAGUGUAGUCUCCUGUAGCAAGGUUACCAGCAGAGCUCAUCUCAGCUAGCAAAAGCAGACCCUUACCACGAGGCAAACCCUGAAACCACAGGAUGACCUCAAAAUGUAAGUAAAAACGAAAGGAUCAAUGAGAAUCCGGUAACAAAUGAUUACAAAUAUACCUUCAACUUCAGGCCAUCAACGAUUCCUGGUCCUGAUACUAUGUGAGCGUUAAUGAUAUCAGCCCACUCUAAUAUUUUAAAGACGCCUCUGCAAACAAACCGCGGCAGAAAAAACUUUAUGAAAGUUUUUAUAACAGAUAUCAAUGGAGAACAAUGAGUGAACACAACGUAGAAAACUGACCCUUCAUACUGCAUUGUUACGGUGUUACCAAUGUCUGCAAACUUACGAUCCUCAAAUAUGAGAAACUUGUGCUUGUCUGCGAUCUGAAGUAACAUCAACAAUCGAUCAACAACAGCCAAAUCAUAGCUAGUUGGAUGAUCUAGGGGAACUUAAAGAACUUCAGUAUUACUAUAGCAUACGACUUAUGUUUCUAUCGUAGAGAGAUUACAUCGGACUACUGUUUUAAGUAGUACUAUCCCUCAUAUAACUUCACUAUAGCAUAUGACUCAUGCUUCUAUCGUAGAUAGAUACAACAUGAACAUACUUUGUGCAAACAAACCUAUCAAAUAAUCAAGAUGCAACUAAACUUACCGCACGGAGUUUAGAGCCAAAGUCAGAGGUGAAAUCAGGCAAAAUGUCAACAUGAGUCUUCAACAUACAUAUCUCUGGUCCCACCUUCAUCAACACAAACAUUUCAAAGAUCAUUAACACAUAAACCAUAUGAUGCACAUUCAGAUAAAAAGAGUCAAAAGAAGAGAGAUUCUUUACCUUGUCUGCAAUGUCAAGCAACUCAGCAGCAGUUCCAACAUCAGCAGCUAAGCAGAGAUUAGUCUCUUUCUUCACCAUAACCUCAAACAGCUUCUUCCCCAUGGGAUUCCUACAAAGCUCCGACCUUUCCUUAAACCCUAAAACCCUAUCCUCACCCUUCACCUUCUCCACACUCGGCACACUAACCCUACGAUUCUCUUCCAAAAACCUAAUCAAACUCGCCUCAACCCCCUCUUGAAUCUUCCCCUUCUCCCUCAAAACCCUAACCAUAUCCGUCAACCUAAUCAUCGAAUGAAGCCUAAUCCCAUUCUCCUCCAGAUUCUCCCUCCCGCCCUGCUGCCUAUCGAUCAACACCACCGCGUCGCUAACCCUAAGCCCAACCCCGCGAAGAGGCGCCGCCGUCUCCAGCACGGACCCCCCGCUCGUCACCAAAUCCUCGAUAAUGAGGCAAGUCUGAUCCUUCUCGAAGACUCCUUCGAUGGCUUUGGAAGUGCCGUAGUCUUUGAUCUCCUUGCGGCGCAUGAGCAUGGGGAUGUUGUUGGAGACGGAGACGACGGUGGCGAUGGGGAGGGCGGUGUAGGGGACGCCGCAGACGACGUCGAAGGAGGUGGUGGGAGGGAGGGAGGAGAUUAGGGUUUGGGAGAUUUGGGUGAGGAGGGAAGGGUAGGAGACGAUGAGACGGAGGUCGAUGUAGACGGGGGAGUAGAUUCCGGAUUUGAGUUUGAAGUUGCCGAAUUUGACGGCGCCGAUCUCGUGGAGCUGCAGGAUUAGGGAUUCCAUCGCUGACAACAUUGUGAGGGGACUUGGCAGUGACUGAGUGCACAGUGGAGAGUGUGUGUGCGCUUUUUAUACUUUAGGUUUUGUUUUUUUUUGUUUUAUGGGAUUUUUGAUCAAUAAUCACAAAUUCUUUUUAACAUAAUUUAAAAUCAUUAAAAAAAUCAAAUUUUAGCAAAGAUGAAAUUCAUACAAUUAAUUAAAAAUUAUAUAAAUUUGGAAAAACAAUUUUUUUUUAUGUUUAAAACUAUAAAAACAUAAAUCUUGUUAUUAUGUUGUUGAGUUUAAACUUUUUAAGCAUGGAUUUAUGACAUAUCUGGUUCACAUUUAUAUUUGAUUUUACAUGUUAUUAUAGAAUAACUUAUUUUGCAACUUACUUUUAAUUCAUACUCUGAAUUAGAAACUAGUUUUUUUUAGAUUUUAAUGAAUUAACAUUUUUUUUAAGGCAUAAGAAAAUUCAAAUAUCUAUUAGAAUUCUUCUAUGUUGGAAACAAAACUGAAGAAUACAUUAAAAUUUGUAUAAAACAAGUAGGUCUGCUUCGACUAUGCACAGAGCUUCCCACCUUUUGUAUUCUUUGACUAACAGAUGUUUUUUUUUGGUGUUCGGAUUCCUUAUCUGCAGGAGAACACGAUGGGUUGAAGAAGAAACAGGUUGUGAAAGAUCACAUACAGUAAGAGCCUCUUGGGUCUUUUGUCACACGCAUAACUGAAGAAAAGAUAUUCUUGCAGUGUGAGACAUUUUUACUUCUCCUGAAAAUAGACUGAUUGUUACGAGUCUAGUAGUUAUGUUUGUCCUUGGUGAUAUGCUUACAAAUAUAAUAAGAGAUCAAAUCUGGUUUUGAAAAGAAAAUUGUAAGAGCAAACUACAUGAGUUUUCCAAAAUGUUUUCUCAUGGAAAUACGUGUAAUAAGAAAGGGUAUUCAACAAUUAAAAAAAACAAAAAGAAAACAUUUAAUUACAUGAAAGGAGUAAACAGGAGAUUGUUUCUAGCAAUGCAGAGAGAUGUUGCCUACGCUGCAGAUUUCCUCAGGCUGCUCUCUAACACCGCAAACCUAAACUGAUAGUUGACAAAAGCAACACAUGAACAUUAGUUACCAAUGAAUCUGCAUACAAGCCCCUAUAUGAACGAAUAUGAAAUGGCAUGGGACGCAAUAUUAUAUACCCUUUCUAUACUUCACAACUUUCUUUUGUUUCCUUGGGAUGCUUCAUUAACCCUCUCACCAACAGUGCUACUGGAUCCUGAGUUGGAUGCAUACCCUAAAGCAGUUGAACCUGCAGGUACAUCUUCCUCUUUUGCUUUCUGCUUAUUCAUGUGACUCUCUCUUGUGCUAGGAAAACUCCCUUUUACUUCAGUUCCCAUCUUCGAAGAAGAUGGUGAUUCUAGUCCUUCCGUAUGCUUUGCCGCAGACAUAUCAAAAGGCCUAUGAAAGAGCAAAUGAGCCACAGUUCUGUCUGUGGGAUUGGUCACAGUUUCGGUGUCUAGCAUCCCUGCAUAUCUGAAAGAACAAAAACCAAGAGCUAGCUAUGUAAACCACAUACUGUAUUGGUUUUGAUGAUGAAGUUUUAUUUAAAAUGCAAUCACGUAACAAAGAACUGCGACAGCACAUGAAAAGAGUGUUAAUGCAUAUGCUUGCAGCAUUCAGAUGGUCUUUACUGCGUAAAUUGAUUCAUUCAGAACAAUGGACAUAUGCUAAUCAUGGAUAAAUAGUUUUUCCUAUCUCACACUUAUCAUACAUAAAAGGCUACCCCACAUUCACAAAACUGUAUGUGUGUAGUUCACAUGAUCUAACUAAGAACCAUAUAUAUAUAUACCAUAUUGAUUAAUAUGCAUAGAUUUGCUUACCUAUAUCUGGAUUUUUCUUGAGGAAUAACCUCCUGGUCAUCCUGGCUAGUCUUAUUACUGUGGGGUGUAUCACUAGUGUGAUGUCUCUGACCUGCGCUAUCAGCCAAACGGAAUAAGCUAUCCCUUAUACAAGUCCUUGUUUCCAUAUCUAACUGCAGGUCAAUAAGUAGUAUUAGUUCCUUCCAACGUAAAGGCCAAUACAAAGUACUGUAGGAUUAUGGCUUCAUCUUUUUUUAACAUAACAAACCAGUUGAGGACCCUUGCUACAACAUCUUAAAGCCGAUAAAGAACCGAGAAUUCUGAUGGAUUAUCAACAGCAGCAGCAGCAAAGUUUCCAGAAUCAUCUAGUUCCAGAGAUGAAUUGGGAUCAAAGGAAGGUAUUGCGGUUAGCCCUUGAAGACUAGUUUUGUCGACAAGCUGAGUAAUGGACUGAUCUGCUACAGGAACUUGGUGACGAAAUUGCUGCUGUUGUCUCUGAAUAGCAAGCAUCGCCUGCAUUUGCUGUCUGCGCCUAAGUUUUUCUAGUUUUUCCUGCGGCGUCAUUGUUGAAGGUCGUGCAGAGGCAGCAUCCGUUACCAUGUUUGCAGAGAUGGCAGUAGUAGGAUUGUAGGAAGGAUGCAUCAGCUGAUUCUUGUUAACAUCAGGACGUUGGAAGGCUGAAACUACAGGCACAGCAGAAUAUGGAUUACCAAAACCAGAAGUAGCCAUGUAUUGGUUUGGCAUAUGUGGAUAAUGUGAUGUCCCAGACCCUUGAGACUCACUCUGCAGAUUGACACCCAUCAUAGAUGAUCGUGACGGUCCCAACUGGUUUACAAAUUUUCUCCUGGACAGAGUCCUCUGACCGUACGGAUCUUGAGAUGCCCCUGCCUCAUGAGUCCCCAACAUUUCUGAAAACUUCAACAUUUUGUUUUGUUGAUAUGGCUGAACAGAAAAAAGAAAUGAAAGAAGUAAGAUUCAAUGGAACUGUAAAAAUCACAAUGCAUAAGAAUCUAAGGGCAUCCGCAUUUGUGAGUCUCUCGCCAAUUAUAUUAAUAUUUAAUUGGUGAGUCUCUUAGAAAAGAUGAUAGAAACUAUGCAACAAUACGUUCUUUCAUUCAAUUUAUUAUAAGCGUGUGAGCAAUAUCCCGAAGUCUGCAGUGCAUAGUACCUGGUCAUCAACUGAGGAUUGUCUCUUAUGCUCAUGAUAUUGCUCAGCUUUUGGGGUUACACGAACUCUAGGCGCACUUUGGGAUGAUGGACCACCAUUGGUUUCUCCAGUCAAUGGAAACUGCUGGUUCUCUUGUUGUUCAAACUCAGUUCUAAUAUCCAAUCCUAGAUCUUGAGAGUCCAAAAUGGAUGGUAACGGCUUGGAUACAUCUUUAGAAGAAGACCAUAACUCAUCUGCACCGCUGAGAGUGCCAUCGCCAAAUAUAGGGACAUCACUACUGCAAAAUCACCACUUGUGAGGAUAUUGUGUUAGAUAGAGAACCCAUUAGUAGGCAAUCCAGAGGUUGGUUAGCUCAAUCAGGAUGAGAACAAGACAUACCUGAACAUUCGAUCAAGAUCAUCAAAGCUACCAAUGUUAGCCCAUCCAUACUCAUCGAAAUCACCUUGCUCUUUACUCUCAUCAGUGCUAUGAAAAAUAUCAGGGCCUUUCCCAAGUUCAGACGCUUUCUCUGGUAAAAACAAGGCGACCACACACACACACACACACUUUAAACAUGAUUAGAAUUUGAAAGAACGUACCCAAGUAAAACAGCACUGUUUCAAGAAACGCACCACUUCUUGUUGAAUCAUAUCUAGCUGGCUCACUCGAACCUGGUCCUGGAUCAGCUUUUCUAGCAUUAGAUACUGAUGAGUCAGGCCAUGAGCUCAUACACUCAAUAUUUUGCCCUGAACUGCUCCCCCCCAGCUUACUAUCAUGAAGGUGAGUUUUACUUUCAGCUGGCUUAACUGCCUUAUUAGAUUCAUCGCCUUGUUCCUUCCUGUUUCUUACUUUAAAAGGCACAAUAUGGUCGUCUGUCUCUCCCUCGUCACCCCAUAUCAUAUUAG